UAACAAGGAUUCCCCUAGUAACGGGGAGUGAAGCGGGAUGAGCUCAAAUUUGAAAGCUGGCGCCUUGGGUGUCCGAAUUGUAAUCUCGAGAAGUAGUAUCUGUGCUGGGCCAUGUACAAGUUCCUUGGAAUAGGACAUCAGAGAGGGUGAGAAUCCCGUACUUGACAUGGAUUCCUGUGCUUUGUGAUCUGCUCUCUAUGAGUCGAGUUGUUUGGGAAUGCAGCUCAAAAUGGGUGGUAAAUUCCAUCUAAAGCUAAAUAUUGGGGAGAGACCGAUAGCGAACAAGUACCGUGAGGGAAAGAUGAAAAGCACUUUGGAAAGAGAGUUAAACAGUACGUGAAAUUGUCAAAAGGGAAGCGCUUGAGGUUAGCUAUGCACGCAGUAUUCAGCCUUUCUUUUGGAGGGUGUACUUGCUGUGUUGCAGGCCAGCAUCGAUUUUGUCUGCUGGAGAAGGGUGGCAGGAAUGUGGCACCCUCGGGUGUGUUAUAGCCUGCUACUGGAUGCAGUGGAUGGGAUCGAGGACUGCAGUGUGCCGUAAGGCGGCUCUUCGGAGACCUUCGCACUUAGGAUGCUGGCGUAAU
RNAcentral lists this ribosomal RNA (581 nucleotides) under Conidiosporomyces ayresii. RNAcentral describes it as "partial 26S ribosomal RNA". It matches the Rfam family "Eukaryotic large subunit ribosomal RNA", at positions 66 to 635 of the family's 3401-position model. Lineage: Eukaryota; Fungi; Basidiomycota; Exobasidiomycetes; Tilletiales; Tilletiaceae. The record is from RNAcentral.